This 254-nucleotide ribosomal RNA is filed under the name uncultured bacterium. RNAcentral's name for it is "partial 16S ribosomal RNA". It matches the Rfam family "Bacterial small subunit ribosomal RNA", at positions 524 to 776 of the family's 1533-position model. The record is from RNAcentral.
UACGUAGGGGCCAAGCGUUGUCCGGAUUUAUUGGGCGUAAAGAGCUCGUAGGCGGUUCGGCAAGUCGAAUGUGAAAUCUCCACGCUCAACGUGGAGGGGUCAUUCGAUACUGCCGUGACUUGAGUACGGUAGGGGAGUGUGGAAUUCCCGGUGUAGCGGUGAAAUGCGUAGAGAUCGGGAGGAACAUCAGUGGCGAAGGCGGCCCUCUGGACCAGCACUGACGCUGAGGCACGAAAGCGUGGGGAGCAAACAGG